GCUGUAUGGUGCAGUCGGUUGCGCUUUUGGCUAUUAACCAGAUGGGACCCCUGGGUUCGAACCCCCGCUAGUG
Molecule: non-coding RNA, 73 nt
Organism: Caenorhabditis brenneri
Lineage: Eukaryota; Metazoa; Nematoda; Chromadorea; Rhabditida; Rhabditidae
Source: the annotation of a GenBank genome assembly